This 512-nucleotide ribosomal RNA is filed under the name uncultured Glomus. RNAcentral's name for it is "SSU rRNA". It matches the Rfam family "Eukaryotic small subunit ribosomal RNA", at positions 569 to 1081 of the family's 1831-position model. The record is from RNAcentral. Lineage: Eukaryota; Fungi; Glomeromycota; Glomeromycetes; Glomerales; Glomeraceae.
AGCAGCCGCGGUAAUUCCAGCUCCAAUAGCGUAUAUUAAAGUUGUUGCAGUUAAAAAGCUCGUAGUUGAAUUUCGGGGUCAGUAGAUUGGUCAUGCCACUGGUAUGUACCGGUCUCACUGAUUCCUCCUUCCUGAUGAGCCGUAAUGCCAUUAAUUUGGUGUUGCGAGGAAUCUGGACUGUUACUUUGAAAAAAUUAGAGUGUUUAAAGCAGGCUAACGCUUGAAUACAUUAGCAUGGAAUAAUGAAAUAGGACGUUUGAUUCUAUUUUGUUGGUUUCUAGGAUCGACGUAAUGAUUAAUAGGGAUAGUUGGGGGCAUUAGUAUUCAAUUGUCAGAGGUGAAAUUCUUGGAUUUAUUGAAGACUAACUACUGCGAAAGCAUUUGCCAAGGAUGUUUUCAUUAAUCAAGAACGAAAGUUAGGGGAUCGAAGACGAUCAGAUACCGUCGUAGUCUUAACCAUAAACUAUGCCGACUAGGGAUCGGAUGAUGUUAAUUUUUUAAUGUACUCAUUC